UCGCGGCUUAUCACCGGCAGUCCCCCUAGAGUGCCCAACUAAAUGAUGGCAACUAAUGAUGAGGGUUGCGCUCGUUGCGGGACUUAACCAAACAUCUCACGACACGAGCUGAAGACGGCCAUGCAACACCUGUCACUGGGUUCCCGAAGGCACUCUCGGCUUUCACCAAAAUUCCCAGGAUGUCAAGCCUUGGUAAGGUUCUUCGCUUACCAUCGAAUUAAACAACACGCUCCACCGCUUGUGCGGGUCCCCGUCAAUUCCUUUGAGUUUUAGUCUUGCGACCGUACUACCCAGGCGGGAUGCUUAACGCGUUAGCUUCGCUACAUACCGGGUCGAUACGGCAUACAGCUAGCAUCCAUAGUUUACGGCGUGGACUAC
RNAcentral lists this unclassified non-coding RNA (378 nucleotides) under uncultured bacterium. Its description in RNAcentral is "contains 16S-23S intergenic spacer region". The record is from RNAcentral.